Molecule: ribosomal RNA, 253 nt
Filed under: Ruminococcus bromii
Lineage: Bacteria; Bacillati; Bacillota; Clostridia; Eubacteriales; Oscillospiraceae
Description: partial 16S ribosomal RNA
Rfam family: Bacterial small subunit ribosomal RNA
Source: RNAcentral
UACGUAGGGGGCAAGCGUUAUCCGGAUUUAUUGGGUUUAAAGGGAGCGUAGAUGGAUGUUUAAGUCAGUUGUGAAAGUUUGCGGCUCAACCGUAAAAUUGCAGUUGAUACUGGAUAUCUUGAGUGAAGUAGAGGCAGGCGGAAUUCCCCGUGUAGCGGUGAAAUGCGUAGAGAUGGGGAGGAACACCAGUGGCGAAGGCGGCCUGCUGGGCUUUAACUGACGCUGAGGCACGAAAGCGUGGGUAGCAAACAGG